GAGUUUGAUCCUGGCUCAGAUUGAACGCUGGCGGCAGGCUUAACACAUGCAAGUCGAACGGUAACAUGAGUGCUUGCACUUGAUGACGAGUGGCGGACGGGUGAGUAAUGUAUGGGGAUCUGCCGAAUGGAGGGGGACAACAGUUGGAAACGACUGCUAAUACCGCAUAAAGUUGAGAGACCAAAGCAUGGGACCUUCGGGCCAUGCGCCAUUUGAUGAACCCAUAUGGGAUUAGCUAGUUGGUAGGGUAAUGGCUUACCAAGGCGACGAUCUCUAGCUGGUCUGAGAGGAUGACCAGCCACACUGGAACUGAGACACGGUCCAGACUCCUACGGGAGGCAGCAGUGGGGAAUAUUGCACAAUGGGGGGAACCCUGAUGCAGCCAUGCCGCGUGUAUGAAGAAGGCCUUCGGGUUGUAAAGUACUUUCGGUGAUGAGGAAGGUGGUGUAUCUAAUAGGUGCAUCAAUUGACGUUAAUUACAGAAGAAGCACCGGCUAACUCCGUGCCAGCAGCCGCGGUAAUACGGAGGGUGCGAGCGUUAAUCGGAAUGACUGGGCGUAAAGGGCAUGUAGGCGGAUAAUUAAGUUAGGUGUGAAAGCCCUGGGCUCAACCUAGGAAUUGCACUUAAAACUGGUUAACUAGAGUAUUGUAGAGGAAGGUAGAAUUCCACGUGUAGCGGUGAAAUGCGUAGAGAUGUGGAGGAAUACCGGUGGCGAAGGCGGCCUUCUGGACAGAUACUGACGCUGAGAUGCGAAAGCGUGGGGAGCAAACAGGAUUAGAUACCCUGGUAGUCCACGCUGUAAACGAUGUCGAUUUGGAGUUUGUUGCCUAGAGUGAUGGGCUCCGAAGCUAACGCGAUAAAUCGACCGCCUGGGGAGUACGGCCGCAAGGUUAAAACUCAAAUGAAUUGACGGGGGCCCGCACAAGCGGUGGAGCAUGUGGUUUAAUUCGAUGCAACGCGAAGAACCUUACCUGGUCUUGACAUCCACAGAAUCUUGCAGAGAUGCGGGAGUGCCUUCGGGAACUGUGAGACAGGUGCUGCAUGGCUGUCGUCAGCUCGUGUUGUGAAAUGUUGGGUUAAGUCCCGCAACGAGCGCAACCCUUAUCCUUUGUUGGCAUCGGUUAGGCCGGGAACUCAAAGGAGACUGCCGUUGAUAAAGCGGAGGAAGGUGGGGACGACGUCAAGUCAUCAUGGCCCUUACGACCAGGGCUACACACGUGCUACAAUGGCGUAUACAAAGGGAGGCGA
Molecule: ribosomal RNA, 1249 nt
Filed under: uncultured Gammaproteobacteria bacterium
Lineage: Bacteria; Pseudomonadati; Pseudomonadota; Gammaproteobacteria
Description: bacterial SSU rRNA
Rfam family: Bacterial small subunit ribosomal RNA
Source: RNAcentral